CCUCAUACAGUUGUUCUGAACACCAGUGAAAUGGAACAUAUGUAUCCAGGGAAGAGAAGUCCACCUCAGACAGAGUUUUUAAAGUAACCUUCUCUGAGCAAAGACAGUACGCCAAGAGUUGUACACAGAGGGAAGCUUGCCAGCAGAGGAUACAGAGAAACAGCAGAGUCCAAAGGGAUGGACAAGAAAAUCCCUUCUGAAGGGCAAGGCAUCAGCAGAUCAGCCAAGUCCCAAUAGCAGGAACUUGACUUCCUGAGGAAGUUCAAAGGAAACCUGUCUAACACUUUCUGGAUCUCAAUUUAAUUUGGCAAGCAUUUAUUAAGCACCUCCUACCUGCCAGGCAUUGCUCUGGAUACUGGGGAUACAGUGAUGGAUAAAUCACAGCCUCUGCUGAAGGAACUGACAAAAUGGGACAACUCUAGUGCCUCCCUGAUGGUCUGUGUUGUUGACAUCCUGCUUGAGGGCUUCAUUGUUGUACUACCAUUAAUGUUUAAGGGGGUGCCUUGUUCUUCCUUGAAUGAGAUUUGAGAGCUGCUAAUGUUCUGCUAAACACACUAAUUAUUCAUCACCCAGAACAACUUCCUGAAGAGGAAAAAAAAAUCUAGUCUGAGACAGGAAUUGCUAAUGCUGAAAAAAGAAAGCAGGAUGUAUGCUCAACGUCCAAGCUAUUGAUUUGGGCCUGAAAAUUCUGAAUGCAAACUAAUGAACUAAAGGGUGAAAUAAAAGGAGAUGCAAAAUAAAAUAUAUACUUAA
Sarcophilus harrisii (Tasmanian devil) is the source of this 753-nucleotide long non-coding RNA. RefSeq lists it as uncharacterized. The transcript has 6 exons. Lineage: Eukaryota; Metazoa; Chordata; Mammalia; Dasyuromorphia; Dasyuridae. The record is from RefSeq and is a predicted model, not a curated record.